Non-coding RNA from Pelobates cultripes (western spadefoot toad), 232 nucleotides. The record is from the annotation of a GenBank genome assembly. NCBI's taxonomy places the organism in Eukaryota, Metazoa, Chordata, Amphibia, Anura, Pelobatidae.
AGUACAUCAGCUAAAUGCUUAUGCCUUUUAUAAUCAGUCCCUAGAGCAGGGACUCCAGAUGUUGUUGACUACAUCUCCCCUGAUGCUUUGCCAGCAUUAUAGCUGUAAGGGUAUUCUGGGGGAUGUAGUCUACAACAUCUGGAAUGCAGACGUUGCCUGCCCUAGAGAACAUGAUCGUUUUGCAGUAACAGACAGGGCUCUCUCUGUGAUAUACAUGUAACACAUCAACAUG